GGGGGUUUAGCUCAGCGGCAUAAGCGCCUGCCUUGAAAGCAGGCAGUCGUGAGUUACAAUCCUUG
This 65-nucleotide transfer RNA is filed under the name Cavia porcellus (domestic guinea pig). It matches the Rfam family "tRNA". From Rfam's summary of the family: Transfer RNA (tRNA) molecules are approximately 80 nucleotides in length. Their secondary structure includes four short double-helical elements and three loops (D, anti-codon, and T loops). Further hydrogen bonds mediate the characteristic L-shaped molecular structure. tRNAs have two regions of fundamental functional importance: the anti-codon, which is responsible for specific mRNA codon recognition, and the 3' end, to which the tRNAs corresponding amino acid is attached (by aminoacyl-tRNA synthetases). tRNAs cope with the degeneracy of the genetic code in two manners: having more than one tRNA (with a specific anti-codon) for a particular amino acid; and 'wobble' base-pairing, i.e. permitting non-standard base-pairing at the 3rd anti-codon position. The record is from Rfam by way of RNAcentral. Lineage: Eukaryota; Metazoa; Chordata; Mammalia; Rodentia; Caviidae.